GCCGGUCCUCGGUAGUGGCCCCCGGAACCGAAUCCCGGGUGCUUCGAUCGAAGACCGGC
Molecule: non-coding RNA, 59 nt
Organism: Streptomyces sp. NRRL F-6491
Lineage: Bacteria; Bacillati; Actinomycetota; Actinomycetes; Kitasatosporales; Streptomycetaceae
Source: Rfam